This 7186-nucleotide long non-coding RNA is filed under the name Brachypodium distachyon (stiff brome). Its description in RNAcentral is "long non-coding RNA (BDIS_LNC000209)". Lineage: Eukaryota; Viridiplantae; Streptophyta; Magnoliopsida; Poales; Poaceae. The record is from RNAcentral.
UUACUACAGGUUAUUGCUGAGGUCAAAAUACCCAAACUCUAACCCGUCGGAUGUCUGCAGCACCAAGCAUUAUUUCGCCCCCUAAAAGAGAAGCAGCAUUAUUUGACUUGAGCUUCUUUGGAGGUCCGGUGAUUGGACUUUAUUUUUAUAUUUUUCAUGGUGUUCUUUGAAUUGUAACUCCCCUAGGUUUUAGCAUGCGUUUGAAGGUUUUGAUUGCUGGGGAACACGGUCAAUGGAUCAUGAGAUUAUCACUCGACGUGCAAACCCUUGUGGAAGUUAAAUCCAUGUAGCGUGUCCAUACCGAGUAGACGACCAACAUGCUCCUCACAGAUUCCGGUACAAUAAAAAUUCGGGUACAAGUUUGAGUGUUAUUUCUAGUCAAUGAUGAUUUUGAGUGUUAUUUCUAAUCCAAUAAAAAUUGAAUUGUUGCAUAUCUUAAAAUUUGUGUACAAGUAAAGGUUUACAAAUACAAAGUCACAAUUAUCUGUACUCCCUCCGUGUUUUUAUUGAGGGCGUCAAAAUUUUCACCCGAAUUUCUAAACAUAAGGCGCGCAACUGUGCGUCUGCGCGCUGGCGUGAUUUGCGAAUUAUCUACUCAUCCACGCGAUUUGGUUGCUUACUGAAAAGUUGCAUCUGUCGUGGAGUUUUGUUGCAUGCAUGCAUGCUCACGGGGCAUCGAUGAAUGGUCCAGUUUUUUUUUCUUGCACAACUGCAUGCGGCAGUUGAGAUCGAUCGUGUGUGCUCCCGAAUGUGUAUGCGGCAGCUACUUAAGUUGCAAGAUGUGUGCAACUUGAUCGGCCGGUUUUGAAAAAAACUAAUUUUCAACCCACAGAAAAGAAGUGUUAUUCAGUUCCGACUAGCGGAGAUGGUUCUAACCGUACGUACGUACGUACGUGUCUAAUUUACAUGGUCCAUUUUUAACCUUGCACGUCGCUUCCGUUCCCUGGCUCCAACACGAUAGUGGCUCUUCUCUGUUAUCUUUGCAUGGAACAACGUGUGGAGUCAAUAACAAUCGAACAGCUAGUAAUAAUCUACUAGUAAUGCCCAAGAACAACGCGAAGAGAGCGAGGGAGAAAAACUAAUUUAAUCAGAGAGAGAGAAAGAGAGUGUGGGUAUGUGUUGAAGUGGCCGAGAAGGAAGAUCAGUAUGGGGCAGUAAUUUAUGGGCGGCUCGAUGAACAUUCCCUUGUCGUGGACUGGAUGGACGCAAAUGGCAUGCGUGCACCUGCCAGAGCAUUUCUCGCGUGCCCUCUCACGUCUCGAUCACCCGCGCACUGCAUGCCGGCCGUUGUGAACCUAUGCCGUGUGCAUGCAUAUAUGUCGUUGUGGUUUGGGUGUGUGCUCCCUAAAAGCACAGCUCCCUCUCUCGUGCAUGCCUUUAUCUCUUUCUUUCUUUCUUCUCUUUUCGUCCCUCGCUUUCUCUUCUUUCCUCUUGUUUCCUAUCGUCUUUUCAUCUUCCUUUCACGGACACUACUGUCUCCGGUAGAAACGCUAGCUAGAGGACGAAGAAAAAGCAGCAAAGAGAUGGAAAUUAAUGGAUCCAUCUCUGUGCGCAUAUCUUUCUGUCUCUCAUGUAUUUGACCAUGACGAGAUAGAGCCGAGAAAGGUAGUAAAAGAAAACAUAAACCUGUAAAGAUCGAGUGAAAAGAAAAUUACAUACUCCGUACAUACUUAAUCAUCACAAGUUAUACAGUUAUAUGCCUGAUCCAUAUGCAAUUUGUUACUACACUGGAUAGCACGUACGCAUAUAUAGUUUCGCGCAUGCUGAUCAGUACUGUACCAGGAUGUGAGUUCCUAUAUAUAAUUACCCUAUCGAUCGUACGCUUCCUGCACAUGUCGUACACAAAGUAAGGCAUAAAUAUAUAUAGUAAUUUUUUAAAUUUUAUUUAACCGGCCGGCCAAAAGCUAGCUAGCUUGUUGCUUUAUUAUAAAGUGAAAGGUGAUGGAUAGUUUGUUCAAGGCUCGAGGAGGAUGCAUGAUGUGUGUGUAAUUGGUGGGGACUGGCGACUACCUAGGAAUUGCUUGCAAGGCGCUAAUUGAUGGAUGGAUGGAUUGAUCGAUAGACCGGACUAGAUAAAAAUGUGGCACGUAGGGCUUGGUGCUAGCGUUGCACCAUGGGAUGCUUCUGCGUGUGGCACUGUACAUGUGAGACAGCUCGAUGUGGACGCUCCGCAAUCUGCCCAAAUGUAUAUCAUAUCUAUCUCAACCGUUAGCUCAUGGCGCAUUAGGUUCUCUUUUCCAUCGUGUGUGUCCUACGUACUUGGCAGGUACGGCGCUGUUUCUUUGACCAUGCAUGCAUGGACGUACGUGUAUGUGCAAUCCCAGAGCUUGUCCUGUUUCUUCUGAUCAUUAGCUAGCGAGCGCCUUCUUACGAGUUACGAACUACUGUUACUCCCUUAUUUUCAGGAUUUAUAAGACUCGAUCACUCGUAUUCCAUAUUUCAGGAUUUAACUUUGAUAUAAUUAUGCCCUAAAAAAACUUUGAUAUAAUUAUUAGACAACUGAUAUAUGUUUGUAAUUAAAAUUAUUUAACUGGAAAUUUCGCUGUUUGUGGAUUCAAUAAUAUAACUUUUUGUGGCACCACUCAUAUAUAUUUUGUUGCUCAAUUGCCGUUUAAAAUAAAUAUCAAAAGAAGUAUGCUUCGGUACACCCCUCCUUCCAGAAUUAAAAAGGUACCUACUUUUAAUUCCGUUUCUACAUAUUAGUUAGGAUAGCCCACUAGCUAAAACCCAUAUCCAAGCCCCGUAUCUGGGUCGAUACCCAUACCCAACUCUCCCGUUCGCUGAGGGCUUGGCUUUCUUCUUCUUCCUCCAUGGGCUAUCGCCACAGCCACAUUGCAGCAAGCACUGAUGGCAGAUAUGAGGGUGGCCUGACUCCGUUCACUUAGUCCGAUCUGGAGCUCCGGGCGCCAUCCCUUCCCCACGAGUAAUUAAUAAGAGAUCUACGUUUACUCAACCAAGGCCUGAUGCAUACAACUUGAUCUUGAUAUGGUAGAAAAAAUAGUUGGUGCUGACUUAGAAUUCAUGGAUUAGCAUUUAAUAAGUAUGGUACUAGAACAUACAUAGACAAGAAUAUAUUUUGGGAUUGAGCUUAACUACUCCAAGUUCCCUUGUUUGAGUUGCUAGAGUAAGGUGCUCAUCCUCACCACGAGUAUCACUUGAAUCAUCACUUGCUACUUUGACUCUAGCCGAUCCUACAAAUUAGUAGAAUAAUAGUAAGUGAUACCAUUACGUAUUUUGUUGGAGCUAAAUCUCUCAACUCACACAAGAAACGGAAAGCAAGAUUUUUGGCCUCGAGCUGCCUCUCACAGCCGAGCUUUUCUCUCCUUCUAUUCCUCUUUCUUGUUACCAAAACAACCGAGAUUACAAUGCCUUAUAUUAUAAGCCAGCAAAAACGGCUCGGCUCGGCUCGGUCCAGCUCGUCACGAGCUCGCCUCCGCUGAGCCGAGCCUGGCUCGGCCCGAAAUUCCGGCGAGCCGUUUUUGCUGGCUCGGCUGGGCAGGCACGCAGCUCGGGCUGGCUCGGCGAGCUGGAGGGUAGAGGUGUACGGAGGCAGGCGGGAGAUCCGGCGACGGAGUCGUAGACGAUGUGGUACGACCAGAGAAGGUUCCCAUCGAGCUCCACGGCCCCGUCGUCUACUUCUGCGACCUCGUCGUCGUCUUCUACCUCUGCGACCCUGUCGUCGUCUACCUCCACGGCCCCGUCGUUGCCAGCGAGGGGCGAGAACAGGCCGAGGUCGACAAGGAGAGACCGGCGUUGGCAUGAUUGAAGGCGGCGGCGCAGCAUCAUGGCGGCCAUAUGGCCGAUGCGGGCAAGAGAUGAGCCGCCCAGCACCUGCUCCUAGCGGCUAGCACGAGCACGUUGUCCAUGGCGGCGGCCGACGGGAGUUGUGCAGCGGCGGCGGACCAGGAGAGUCGUGGGAGAGAGACGAGGCUGAGACAGAUCGAGGAAUCGUUCACGUCGCCCUAAUUCCCCUCGGCCUUGGGCAGUUGCGUCGUGGGCUUCGCCAUGGGCUUCGAAAUAUUGGGCUGGGCUGCCACUGUAGCUCUCGAGCCAGCAGCCCGAGGGCAAAACGAGCCCAUUUUCGAAGCUCGGCUUGAGCUGAAAGUGAAGCAGGCUCGGGCCGAGCUGGCCCGGCUCGUCAUGGGCUCGGUCCAGCUCGCCGAGCCCAGCUCGUAUGUCCAGCCUGAGACCGAACCAGCACCCGAGUCUGGACUGAACCGGGCCAGUUCGCGACCAAGGUCCACGUGGCAUGCCACGUCAGCCCGAAAGGUGGGGCCUGUCGGUAAGAAAACAUUGGGUUAGGGAGAAAAAUACUAAAAGGGGUAAUUAGUGGCAAAUGUUUGCUUAAAUGGGGUAGAAUUUUAGAAAUUCUCUUAAAUGGGGUAGAUUGUGUCAAGAAAAUGAAGAGAGGAGGUAAAAAAUGGACUUUACUCAAAGGUUUUUCCUUGGCUAUGGAUAAAAGGGAGGAUUAAAGUGAGAACGGUGCUUAGGAGAAAGCAGAUUAUUGCCACUGAUGAAUGUCCUUUUGGCUGCAAUGCAAGUGAAUCUCCGACUCAUCUCGGCUGGUUUUUCCACGUUCUAUCUUACUCUUUCAAUUGUUGGGGAUUAAUACUGUGGGUGCAUAACACUUGCGCCUCCUGACAAGAUGGCUGCUUGGGAGACUGUUUUUUUUUGGAACGAAGUCAGGAGGGGAGACCCCUACCUGAAUUUUGAUUAAAAGGAGCCUGAGGCUCAAAGUUGCAAAGCGCCUGAAACCGGCAAAAGUGAAAAUAAUUACAAGGCAGGACAGAGCAAACACAAGGAAGCAAAGGAGAAAGAAAAAAAUUGGUAUUUAAUCAGGCCAAUCUUCAAUCCAGCGGUUGAUCGCCUGUUUUUCCUUGUUCUUCAAAGUUGGGAGACUGUUGCUGCUGCUAUUCUUUAGAAUAUUUGGCUUGCCCGAAAUCACAAGGUUUUUGAUGAUGGCAACAUUCCCGUGUCUAUCUUGGGAAGCAAUGUUCAGAGACAUUGAAGCUAUGGUCUCAUCGUUUAAAAGGCAAGUAGAGGUUAGCUGCUCGUCGGUGGAUAUAAGAUUGGCCUGCAUAGUUCCUUUCUUCUUGUUCUUCUUUUCUUUUCCUACAAACUUGUGGUACUUAAUUAUAAAAUUUGGCUGUUGUAAUCCUCCUGGGACUUGUACUGUUUGGAACUCCUUGGUUCCGUUUUUAUAAAAAUUAGGUAGGGGUCUCCCCUCCCGACUUCGCUAAAAACAAAGGUUCCAAAUCUGGGCGGUGUUACAUAUCGGAGCGAUUAGAAGCUUGAACUUCUCAUCCGGCGGCAAGCGUCGUCACGGUCCAAACUGAAUCCGUGCUGUGGGAGGAUAGUACUCUUAGGCCCAGUGCUGGAAAAUGGGCAGAGAAGAAAACGUACUCCGUAAUAAGGCUUAACUAGUCCGUCUCUGGUCUCUUGGCCCAAAUACUCGAGCUGAACACCUCUCUUUUUUUUUCUCGGGGCUUUGAAACUUCAGAUGUGGCCUCUCAAAUAUGCUCCAAAAAAAUGUUGCCUCUAAAAAAAAUGAAACUUCAGAUUUGGAUUCGUAUCUCCAUGAAUAAAAAUUUGAAUCCAAAUGCUUUGAGAUAAUUUGCAUGCCAACCUGUUUUUACAUGACUCCAUUUCUUUAUCUGACAACCAUUAUUCAGGCAUUCGCGGACGACACCACAGUCACAGAUACAAUUUGGGCGAAACACUAAGAUCAGACUUUCCUUGAACUCACACGAGAAAACACGCGGGGCACUAAGGCCAGUCCGCCACCACCCUUAAUACCAUGGCUGGAAGCCUGGAACCGGAGAAGUAAGAAUGGUGUUUGCUUGAGAGGAGGAUGCCGGCGCUAUGGCCUGGUUUGACAGCUUGUCGUGUCAUGUGGGCGCAAUCGCGCGUGCAUGUGUAGUUGACAACUUGAAUUAGCGGAACACAUCGACACACCGUGCUCUGGUACGAUCAGUGGAUGAUUGGAUUGACUAAUGGUACACACGAUUCACGAUUCUUCCGUCAUUCAUUCACUCGUGCACCUCAUGCUUAAUUACAUUGCGCGGGGUUCACUCCACCAUGGUACAAAUCAACACAUAACUAGACAAAGGUACAAGUUGAUCUACGGCGUACAAGUACACAUGCAUGCAUAUAUCGAUCGUCCGAUGGAUGGACCGAUAUAUACUACAGCUAGCUGCUAAUUCUCAUUUAGCUCCCGGGGGCGAAGUUGGUAGCAAAGGCCCAUGCAUUGUUGUUGACUGGGUCGGCGACGUGGUCGAAGAGGUUCUCGACGGGUCCCUUGCCCGUGACGAUGGCCUGCACGAAGAAUCCAAACAUGGAGAACAUGGCGAGGCGGCCGUUCUUGAGCUCCUUGACCUUGAGCUCAGCGGCGGUGUCUGGGUCGUCGGCGAGACCGAGGGGGUCAAAGGCGCCACCGGGGUAGAUCUUGUCGAGCCCCUCACCGAGAGGGCCUCCACCAACACGGUAACCCUCGAUGAAGCCCAUGAGCACAACUUGGCAUGCCCAAAUGGCGAGGAUGCUCUGCGCGUGCACGAGGUUAGGGUUGCCCAGGUAGUCCAGGCCGCCCUCGGAGAAGAUCUGCGAGCCGGCCUUGAACCACACCGCCUCGCCGAACUUGACACCAUUCUUGGAGAGGAUCUCCGGGAACACGCACCCGAGCGCGCCAAGCAUCGCCCAACGAGAGUGGAUCACCUCGAGCUCCCUGUUCUUGGCGAACGUCUCUGGGUCAGCUGACAACCCCGCGGUGUCCCAGCCGUAGUCACCGGGGAACUCGCCGGUCAGGUACGACGGCGUCUGCUCGGAGAACGGGCCCAGGUACUUGGGACGGUCAGGGCCGUACCUAUAUAUACACGCACGGUCAUUUCAUCACCAUUAAUUUCAUUCAGGCGAAGCCAAUUGCGCGGUACUUGAUGCAUGUAGUACAUAGAAAUGUAGCUUUGGACGAAGAAAAAGAUAUACUUACCAGAUGCUCUGGGGUGCGCUCUUGACAGUCCGGCGCAUGGUGAUGCGGCCGCCGAAGUCGCCGACGCUGCGGACGAGGUCAUCGCGGCGUGGGGCGGUGCCGAGGAAGCUGGUGGUCUGGUGCAGCGCCGACGCGGCCAUUUCGAUCCCAAUUCAAGUGGUAAGGUCAGUGAGAGAUGAGCUGGUGGCUGGUGUUGUUUGAGUG